CAAUAGCGUAUAUUAACGUUGUUGCAGUUAAAAAGCUCGUGGUUGGAUUUCUGGAGGGAGCGUCGGCCCGUAUUUACGAGUGCGUGACGUCUCUGUCCAUCCUUGCGGGAAGGCACGGCAUUGAUUUGUUGUGUCGGAUCGCAUCAUUUACUGUGAAAAAAUUAGAGUGUUCAAAGCAGGCUUUCGCUUGAAUACAUUAGCAUGGAAUAAUAAGAUAGGACUUUGGUGCUAUUUUGUUGGUUGAGCCUAAAGUAAUGAUUAAUAGGGAUAGUUGGGGGCACCUGUAUUGCGUUGUCAGAGGUGAAAUUCUUGGAUUUACGCAAGACAAACAGCUGCGAAAGCGUCUGCCAAGGAUGUUUUCAUUA
RNAcentral lists this ribosomal RNA (365 nucleotides) under uncultured eukaryote. Its description in RNAcentral is "partial 18S ribosomal RNA". It matches the Rfam family "Eukaryotic small subunit ribosomal RNA", at positions 592 to 975 of the family's 1831-position model. The record is from RNAcentral.